This 406-nucleotide ribosomal RNA is filed under the name uncultured bacterium. RNAcentral describes it as "partial 16S ribosomal RNA". It matches the Rfam family "Bacterial small subunit ribosomal RNA", at positions 29 to 526 of the family's 1533-position model. The record is from RNAcentral.
AUUGAACGCUGGCGGCAGGCCUAACACAUGCAAGUCGAACGAGUGGCGGACGGGUGAGUAAUGUCUGGGAAACUGCCUGAUGGAGGGGGAUAAUUACUGGAAACGGUAGCUAAUACCGCAUACCAUCAGAUGUGCCCAGAUGGGAUUAGCUAGUUGGUGGGGUAAUGGCUCACCAAGGCGACGAUCCCUAGCUGGUCUGAGAGGAUGACCAGCAACACGGGAACGGAGACACGGUCGAGACUCCUACGGGAGGCAGCAGUGGGGAAUAUUGCACAAGGGGCGAAAGCCUGAUGCAGCCAGGCCGCGUGUAUGAAGAAGGCCUUCGGGUUGUAAAGUACUUUAAGCGGGGAGGCGUUACCCGCAGAAGAAGCACCGGCUAACUCCGUGCCAGCAGCCGCGGUAAUAC